AUUGAACGCUGGCGGAAUGCUUUACACAUGCAAGUCGAACGGUAGAGGGGGCAACCCCCUUGAGAGUGGCGAACGGGUGAGUAAUAUAUCGGAACGUGCCCAGUCGUGGGGAUAACGUAGCGAAAGUUACGCUAAUACCGCAUACGAUCUAAGGAUGAAAGCGGGGGAUCGCAAGACCUCGCGCGAUUGGAGCGGCCGAUAUCAGAUUAGGUAGUUGGUGAGGUAAAGGCUCACCAAGCCAACGAUCUGUAGCUGGUCUGAGAGGACGACCAGCCACACUGGAACUGAGACACGGUCCAGACUCCUACGGGAGGCAGCAGUGGGGAAUAAUUGGACAAUGGGCGCAAGCCUGAUCCAGCCAUGCCGCGUGUGUG
RNAcentral lists this ribosomal RNA (374 nucleotides) under uncultured bacterium. RNAcentral's name for it is "bacterial SSU rRNA". It matches the Rfam family "Bacterial small subunit ribosomal RNA", at positions 30 to 407 of the family's 1533-position model. The record is from RNAcentral.